GUGGUGCUCAAUGAUGUAUAUUAAGUGAAACCUACCAACUGACCUUUAUCCUUUCCUUCCUGUUUUUUUAAUAUUAAAGAAGAGACCUCUUUUCACAAAUGAUUGAGGAGGCUAGUAAAAUGCAGUGAAAAGAGCAAGUUCUUUGGGAGUCAGACAGCAUCGGAUCCAGCCCAGAGCGCAGCACGACUAGUAGAGUAACUUAGAUUAAGUCCUUAAACUUCCAGUGUCCUCUUUUGUAAACUGGGAAUAAUAAUAAUAAUAAAUAAAUAGUGAAUAAUAUUUAUGCAAAGUACUUAGCACAGUGUCUAACACAUAAAAGCUUAGGAGAAGUUGGCUAUUAAGCAUUUCUAGGAACCCGAGGACUCAGGGUUGUUAUUUUAGUUCUUGGAAUCAAAGGAACUUGAAGCGUAGUCAUUCCUAAACUAAGUUAAACCAGAACUAGCGCUUUCAGCAAUGAUGUAAUUUGAUCUCUUCGGGCCACCGUCGCUGAGCAUGCGCAAAUAAACGUGGCGGGACGUA
This 519-nucleotide long non-coding RNA is filed under the name Homo sapiens (human). RNAcentral's name for it is "non-protein coding lnc-CDKAL1-3:1". Lineage: Eukaryota; Metazoa; Chordata; Mammalia; Primates; Hominidae. The record is from RNAcentral.